UCAAAUUCCCAAUGCACCGGUUCCUAGA
This 28-nucleotide non-coding RNA is filed under the name Rattus norvegicus (Norway rat). The record is from RNAcentral. Lineage: Eukaryota; Metazoa; Chordata; Mammalia; Rodentia; Muridae.